GCAAAGGUACCUCGGUGGUGUAGUGGUAGCACGCCUCUCCGGUAUGGAUGAAACGAGGGUUCGACUCCGUCUAAGAUCGUGCUUUUGCU
Parelaphostrongylus tenuis is the source of this 89-nucleotide non-coding RNA. The record is from the annotation of a GenBank genome assembly. NCBI's taxonomy places the organism in Eukaryota, Metazoa, Nematoda, Chromadorea, Rhabditida, Metastrongylidae.